UGGGGAAUAUUGGACAAUGGGGGAAACCCUGAUCCAGCGACGCCGCGUGUGUGAAGAAGGCCUGCGGGUUGUAAAGCACUUUCGGUGGGAACGAAAUAUGCCGGGCUAAUACCCCGGUAGGCUGACGUUACUCAAUGAAGAAGCACCGGCUAACUCUGUGCCAGCAGCCGCGGUAAUACGGAGGGUGCAAGCGUUGUUCGGAAUUACUGGGCGUAAAGCGCGUGUAGGUGGUCGAGUAAGUCGAAUGUGAAAGCCCCGGGCUCAACCCGGGAAGUGCAUCCGAAACUGCUCGACUAGAGUCCCGGAGAGGAAGGCAGAAUUCCCAAUGUAGGGGUGAAAUCCGUAGAUAUUGGGAGGAAUACCGGUGGCGAAGGCGGCCUUCUGGACGGUGACUGACACUGAGGCACGAAAGCGUGGGGAGCAAACAGGAUUAGAUACCCUCGUAGUCCCUGAGCGGGCUGGCAAGGCGCAU
RNAcentral lists this ribosomal RNA (472 nucleotides) under uncultured bacterium. RNAcentral's name for it is "bacterial SSU rRNA". It matches the Rfam family "Bacterial small subunit ribosomal RNA", at positions 355 to 825 of the family's 1533-position model. The record is from RNAcentral.